AUAGUUAGUAUUAGAGUUAGGAAAGAUUGGAGUAAGGAUUGCAUUUAAACCUAGAUUAACUUUAGUAUGGAAAUUGACCAAAACCAGAAGACAAAAAUUCAUCCUUAAAGUAUUAUUUAAAUGAACUAAACGAAUUAUUAUGAUCAUUAUUAUAUAGCCACAUUAAUUUUGUCCUAUUUAAUACCAACACUAUUCUAAAGGUAAUCGUACAUUCAUCCCAAAAUUAUAAUUCGAAUCAACCAAAUGACUUAUUAUAGUCACCAUAAUUAUGUCCUAUUUCACCAAUACUAUUCCUUUAAGAAAUUAAUCUUAAUAUUUUCAUGUUCCGUUUACAGUAAAAAGGUUAAAGCCGUUACGAUGCUGGCCAAACAAAAUUGCAUCAAGCUUCUGGAUUUGAACUCCGGAGAAGCCGAUGUUAUCCUUUCGCUUUCAGGAGGCACAUCGUAGUCCUGCCAGCAUUCGACGCACACGAUGAAUAACAUGAGGAUCAAACCCAGGAACCACAAACUCCGUCCCAUUCUUCCGCUCAGCAUCUUGAGGUGCUUGAGAUGUGAUGGAUGCAAAAAGCUAUCAAAGAAUAAAAUUAACUUGGUAUGCAAAUUACCAUUUCAAUGUUCAUUUUCACUUUUGAGAAA
Paramuricea clavata is the source of this 635-nucleotide non-coding RNA. NCBI's taxonomy places the organism in Eukaryota, Metazoa, Cnidaria, Anthozoa, Malacalcyonacea, Plexauridae. The record is from the annotation of a GenBank genome assembly.